AUGCACGGGCGGUUGCGGGCGCGCGCGGCCAGGCGAAGGCGGACGCGGCCGCGGGUGGGGCAACCGCAAAGGCGGACGCCGGCGGCAGCGACGCAACAAGAUGCAGCGGCAGCAAGCAAGGCAAGCGGGGACAGGGGCAGCCGUGGCAAGAGUAGCAGAAGCAGGCAAGCAAUAGCAUUAGCAGCAGGAGGUAAGCAGCAGCAGCCAAGCAAGCAGCGCCGUACAGGAAGCAGCAGCGCAGCAGCGGUAGUAGCAGGGGAGCGGCGGCGCGGGGCACGAGCCGCGGCAAGCACGGGACGGCCAUGGGGCAGCAGCGGCGCAUAG
RNAcentral lists this ribosomal RNA (324 nucleotides) under Triticum aestivum (bread wheat). Its description in RNAcentral is "partial small subunit ribosomal RNA". The record is from RNAcentral. Lineage: Eukaryota; Viridiplantae; Streptophyta; Magnoliopsida; Poales; Poaceae.